AAAAUUUAUUUUAUAAAAGUUUAUUUACAGUUAAGUUAUUUUCUUAAUAAGUUUAUUGCCUUAAUCUAUUAUUUACGAAACUGCAGGAUAAAUUUGACUUGGAUUUGAGUGUUCCGCACAUUUCCUAUGCCAUCGACGACAUGAUCAAGGAACAGUUCAAGGAGUACCGCUCCUUAUUACACAAGCGGUACAAGCGGUACAUGAGACACUAGGAGGGCGCACUGUCCGCACCGCCACACGUGACCCAUGACGACUGGCGGAUACUCUGCGAUAGAUUUUUGUCUGAUUCUUUUCAAAAGAGGAGCAAAAUAAAUUCUGACAAUAGGGGAAAGUUGAAGUGAACCACGUAGCUGGUUCAAAGUCAUUUGUACAAUUUCAUCACAACAUGCGAGAUUCCGUCACUGGCCAAGAGCCCGGAUCAGUAGACCUCUAUAGAGGGACUCACUGUCGGCAGGUGACGAGAUCUUGGGUAUAUCCUAGAGCCAGCGAGAUUUGGGCGGCGAUAGACACCUUACGCAGUCAGCCCACUGCCGAUGGUACUCAACGGAGUGAGCUAGAGAUCCUGAGUGAGGUGCUUGGCACCUGUUCUGGA
Molecule: long non-coding RNA, 592 nt
Organism: Magnolia sinica
Lineage: Eukaryota; Viridiplantae; Streptophyta; Magnoliopsida; Magnoliales; Magnoliaceae
Exons: 4
Source: RefSeq, a predicted model, not a curated record